UUGAACGCUGGCGGCAUGCUUUACACCUGCAAGUCGCACGGCAGCGCGGGCUUCGGCCUGGCGGCGAGUGGCGAACGGGUGAGUAAUGCAUCGGAACGUGCCCAGUAGUGGGGGAUAGCCCGGCGAAAGCCGGAUUAAUACCGCAUACGACCUGAGGGUGAAAGCGGGGGACCGAAAGGCCUCGCGCUAUUGGAGCGGCCGAUGUCGGAUUAGCUAGUUGGUGGGGUAAAGGCUUACCAAGGCGACGAUCCGUAGCUGGUCUGAGAGGACGACCAGCCACACUGGGACUGAGACACGGCCCAGACUCCUACGGGAGGCAGCAGUGGGGAAUUUUGGACAAUGGGGGCAACCCUGAUCCAGCCAUGCCGCGUGCGGGAAGAAGGCCUUCGGGUUGUAAACCGCUUUUGUUCGGGAAGAAAUCCUCUGGGCUAAUACCCCGGGGGGAUGACGGUACCGGAAGAAUAAGCACCGGCUAACUACGU
Molecule: ribosomal RNA, 482 nt
Filed under: uncultured bacterium
Lineage: Bacteria
Description: partial 16S ribosomal RNA
Rfam family: Bacterial small subunit ribosomal RNA
Source: RNAcentral